RNAcentral lists this non-coding RNA (109 nucleotides) under Rhodoferax ferrireducens. RNAcentral describes it as "TPP sequence". It matches the Rfam family "TPP riboswitch aptamer (THI element)". From Rfam's summary of the family: Vitamin B(1) in its active form thiamin pyrophosphate (TPP) is an essential coenzyme that is synthesised by coupling of pyrimidine and thiazole moieties in bacteria. The previously detected thiamin-regulatory element, thi box was extended, resulting in a new, highly conserved RNA secondary structure, the THI element, which is widely distributed in eubacteria and also occurs in some archaea. Lineage: Bacteria; Pseudomonadati; Pseudomonadota; Betaproteobacteria; Burkholderiales; Comamonadaceae. RNAcentral also lists the same sequence under 1 other name. The record is from RNAcentral.
GCAUUUCGCUAGGGGUGUUGCCAGGCUUUUAAUGAAAGCGGGUGACUGAGAAAGUCCCUUUGAACCUGACUGAGGUAAUCCUCGCGCAGGGAAGCAAGUCUGAACAUAG